UUGAACGCUGGCGGCAUGCCUUACACAUGCAAGUCGAACGGCAGCACGGGUGCUUGCACCUGGUGGCGAGUGGCGAACGGGUGAGUAAUACAUCGGAACAUGUCCUGUAGUGGGGGAUAGCCCGGCGAAAGCCGGAUUAAUACCGCAUACGAUCCACGGAUGAAAGCGGGGGACCUUCGGGCCUCGCGCUAUAGGGUUGGCCGAUGGCUGAUUAGCUAGUUGGUGGGUAAAGGCCUACCAAGGCGACGAUCAGUAGCUGGUCUGAGAGGACGACCAGCCACACUGGGACUGAGACACGGCCCAGACUCCUACGGGAGGCAGCAGUGGGGAAUUUUGGACAAUGGGCGAAAGCCUGAUCCAGCAAUGCCGCGUGUGUGAAGAAGGCCUUCGGGUUGUAAAGCACUUUUGUCCGGAAAGAAAUCCUUGACUCUAAUACAGUCGGGGGAUGACGGUACCGGAAGAAUAAGCACCGGCUAACUACGUG
This 484-nucleotide ribosomal RNA is filed under the name uncultured bacterium. RNAcentral describes it as "partial 16S ribosomal RNA". It matches the Rfam family "Bacterial small subunit ribosomal RNA", at positions 30 to 507 of the family's 1533-position model. The record is from RNAcentral.